GAGGGUGUAGCUCAGUGGCAGAGUGCCUGCCUGGCGUGCACGAGGUCCUGGGUUCCAUCCCCAGUGUCUCCA
Molecule: transfer RNA, 72 nt
Filed under: Camelus bactrianus (Bactrian camel)
Lineage: Eukaryota; Metazoa; Chordata; Mammalia; Artiodactyla; Camelidae
Also listed under: 2 other names
Rfam family: tRNA
About the family: Transfer RNA (tRNA) molecules are approximately 80 nucleotides in length. Their secondary structure includes four short double-helical elements and three loops (D, anti-codon, and T loops).
Source: Rfam by way of RNAcentral